CAAUCGCGUAUAUUUAAGUUGCUGCAGUUAAAAAGCUCGUAGUUGGAUUUCGGGUGGGAAUGGCCGGUCCGCCGUUUCGGUGUGCACUUGCUACGCCCACCUUGCUGCCGGGGACGUGCUCUUGAGUUCACGCUCGGGACACGGAGUCGGCGAGGUUACUUUGAGUAAAUUAGAGUGUUCAAAGCAGGCCUACGCUCUGAAUACAUUAGCAUGGAAUAACACGAUAGGACUCUGGCCUAUCUUGUUGGUCUGUAGGACCGGAGUAAUGAUUAAGAGGGACAGUCGGGGGCAUUCGUAUUUCAUUGUCAGAGGUGAAAUUCUUGGAUUUAUGAAAGACGAACUACUGCGAAAGCAUUUGCCAAGGAUGUUUUCAUUAA
RNAcentral lists this ribosomal RNA (377 nucleotides) under uncultured eukaryote. Its description in RNAcentral is "partial 18S ribosomal RNA". It matches the Rfam family "Eukaryotic small subunit ribosomal RNA", at positions 592 to 976 of the family's 1831-position model. The record is from RNAcentral.